GCCUUACCUAUACAGUGCAGCCCACUGUCCCACUAUCUGAAUUCAAAUGACACUAUAUGGAUUUUUCUCUCAAGCGCGCCCACGAAUACGCGUUCACGUUUGGCAGCUCCACGUCGACAUUCUUCCAGCUGUGCACAGGGCUGAAAGAAGAAGAGGUAAAAGCGGCGUGAAGCCAGCUAUACGAACACUGUAUGUAGGCUCCAACGAGGGACGUCAACCGCGAAAUGGAGAAGAGGAAAAUCUCCUGUUUUUUUACAGUUAGUCCUGCAACAAUUGUAUAUAGCACACUGUUUUUUUUUUGUUGCAUUUUAUGAUCUUUUUGCCCUCGUGCUGGAUUGCAGCUGGCCCCCUUUAACAGCUCUCACUUCUGCCAGGUGAAGGAGUGGUGAAAUGGGUUGGCACAAAGGAAUAGCCUACGAUGUGGCACUCUGGCUUUCCAAGUAAAGUUCUGUGAUACACUUCGACUCUAAUUGUUUGCAGUCAGUGCAUUACAGAACUUUGUUUUGGGAGUUAAUGCUCCGGCCUGCGGGAAACAAACCUACCAUCUGGAGAGUGGAACCAUUAUUUCACAUGCCACUUGCAGACUGCAAAAGGGAGAAUAAAGUUUUUCUUUUGACAAUGACUCAUGAGUUUUCACCAACUUUUGUAGUAUGUAUUUGCUUAUAAGUAAACACGCACUUGGUCUAUUGGCAUCAGAGUGAAAUGUCUGAACUAUUAAUGAAAAAUGGACUCCCAGAAAGCCAUGGUAGAGUGUUAAAUAAUUUCCUAUAGGACGAUAGUGGGCCAUAUGGAGACUCCAGUCAUACCUCACUAUCACUUGGACAUGUGACUCAAUGGACGUGAGAAGGAAAGAUAAACAACAGCAGUUGAAAUGUUGAAACCUCAUUUUCACUGUCCUCGGUCAUACAAUGUAGUGGUCAAACAUCUCAUAACCAUAUCAAACCCAUAAACAUGAAUGUCCCAAUUCAGAUACUUUUUUCUUCAUCAUUUUCUGUUGAGUAUUGACAUUGUGUCAUGCGAAUGCUAGAUAAUUGUCUGUUGUAUCAUUCAUUGUUGGAAUGUAAGUAUAAAACUAUUUCAGAGAUGUA
Long non-coding RNA from Oncorhynchus keta (chum salmon), 1088 nucleotides. RefSeq lists it as uncharacterized. The record is from RefSeq and is a predicted model, not a curated record. The transcript is spliced from 2 exons. Lineage: Eukaryota; Metazoa; Chordata; Actinopteri; Salmoniformes; Salmonidae.